RNAcentral lists this long non-coding RNA (9636 nucleotides) under Homo sapiens (human). RNAcentral describes it as "non-protein coding LINC01117:14". The record is from RNAcentral. Lineage: Eukaryota; Metazoa; Chordata; Mammalia; Primates; Hominidae.
GCCCUCGCGCGUCGGCCAGGAACCUCGGCCCCAUGCGGGCGGGCCAGCGCGGCCAGGAGGGCCGGGAAGAGGGGUCCCCGGGGCCCCGGAUGCGCUGAACUCCGGGGAGGGGAUGGGCAGGAGAGAGAGCACACUCCUGGAGCCGCGACGUCCAAACCCGGACGCACUUGAACCCGCAGCGAGGCCCGUGGCUCGCGGCCUUCGGAGAGCACCCGCGCCCCGCGCAGACCGGACGCCGGCCUUGCCCGAUCCUCGGCAUCCUUCGGCGGGGCGGCCAGUCCCAGGGCGCUCGCUGAGGGCCACACCCUGGCCCCAGAGUUUAGCACCGCCGCGGGCAGGGCGCUCCGCUCCCGGACCCCGAAUCUGAAAGCGGAGACCAAGGGCUGCCUGCGGCAAAGCUCGACAUACACUUGAUUUUCUUCCGAUUUGGAGAAAAUGUCACGGGCGAGAGCAAAAAAAAAAAAAAAAAAAAAAAAAAAAACCCUAACUGUAAAUAUUAUUUGGAGGUGGGCGAGGGCGCGGCGUGCGCGCGGCGGCGGGUGGCGGGCGGCGCGGGCGCCCUUGCGGGGAUUCCCGGUCUCUCAGCGCGCCCUAGUGGACGCCCUGCCUUUCGCUGGCUCCCCGUGCUCGUUACAAUCUGCAAUAUAUUAUUUCUUCCGAAGUAUUGACAAUGUGUGAGACUCCAGUAACCCCGGAGCUCUCGUCUGUAAUCAGCACAUUUAUCCACAUUUAAGGGGGAAAAUCCGAAUUAAAUCCCCGUGACCCUGAUUGGGUUACAGUGUCAUUUUCCCUGGAUCCUCUUUUAAAUCCACUCCACACUGCUUCUCUGUCUAUUACAUGCUAAUUUAAUUUUACUGUGGAAGAUAUUUUCAGGAUUUGCUGAGGACAGUAAAUUUUGUAGUUUAUGUUAUUUCACUUUUUAUGACUUUUUAACACUUAAUAAAAUUUUAUUAGAGCACUUUUGUGUUUACAAGGCCACAAAACUCUUGGCAGGUUGUCAGAAGUCCUUUUUAUUAUGAUCCUACUGAUAUACUGCGAGUAAUGAAAUAAUCAUGUCCAGAAAUGUAUCAAAGGCCAGAGGGAUUAUCCCACUUAAUAGCUCCACAGAUGCGCCCAGAAGAAUGUGGACGCGCGACAGGACGGGCUGAAAGGCUGCAGGAGGAAGCAGGCAGCCCCGGCUCCUGGCUUUACCAUUUCGGUUGCUUUCCUAAAAGGCUACAUGCAGGGUCAUGUGACUUUCCGCGGUCUCAAUAAAAAAAAAAAAAAAAAAAAAAAAAAAGAAUUUAUUCUAUUGCAAAAUGUGCUUUUCUUUUUAUACUCCUUGUGUGGGCAUUUAAGACUGUUCUAGUGGCAGUGGGGUUGGCUGUACAUAUCCAUAUACGUGAUCAUUUAACACACGGGUGUUAAGUUCAUUCUUGCUGCAAAAGAAGGCCAUUGUACCUCCUGACCCUGAAAGCAAGAUGAAGUCACUGAGACACCAAAGGUUAAUUGCUUGCCCAAAGCCAUGUAGCAACUUGGUUGAAGUUACUUUAGUGUCGAAAGCUCCACAUAUGUGCUUUUCGCAAAAUCAAUAGUCACCCCAUGCAAACGAAGAGAUGGUAAUUAGAGAUGGGACAGACCCCAACAUAUCCUUCAUUUGAAGAUAGAAUAAAUUCAGCAAGAUACCUAAUUAUUAUCAUCAUCUUUCACAAAAACAUAUGUGAUUUUUCCCCCCUACCCAAAUGUUUUAGUGAAAACUGCAACUGUGCAUUAAAAGGCAGUUUUGCAUGCAUAUAUUCAGAGAACAAUAUGGAGAAUCUAUCCCUUGGGAUAAAAAAAAAAACACCCAGCAACAACAAACUUGAAAACAGAUGGUUCUGAUACAGUCUGAUAAGAAUGUAAACAAGAAAAUCUUUGUUGACUUAUUUCAUAGUAAUCAGUAAUAAUUAGUUAUUGUCUAGAGGUGAGUUACAAAUUUCACAAGCAUGGCCACGAACAGCCUCUGAAAAGUGAAGCUAAAUUUGUGACAUCAGUGAGGAAUUACUGACCCCUGCUGAACCCUCCUUAUUAACAUUUUUCUUGAUUGACAUAAAGGAAUGAAACCCUGGAAGAGGAUAAUUUCUGCAUUCUUUGUUUUUUCUUUUGUCAUCAUUUGAUUUAGAGAUAUUAGACCCCUCUGACUAAUCCAUGAAUUUUAAGUUCUUUGAAAAAGAACUUAAAUUUUCUCUACAGCUUAGAGAACUAAAGCUCUCUUUCCUUCCGUUUUUCCUUCCUUCCUUCCUUCCUUCCUUCCUUCCUUCCUUCCUUUCUUCCUUUUUUCUUCCCUCCCUCCCUUCUUUCCUUCCUUCCUUCCUUCCUUCCUUCCUUCCUUCCUUCCUUCCUUCCUUCCUUCCUUCCUUCCUUCAUGGGGUCCACAGUUUAGUUGGAGAGGCAAGUUUGUAAAAAAAUAACUAUCACCCAGUUUGUUAAGAAGUGGGCAAGGGCUGGAUGCCAUGGUUCAUGUCUGUAAUCCCAGCACUUUUCAGAGGCCAAGGAUGAGGAGGAUCACUUGAGCCCAGAAGUUUGAGACCAGCCUGGGCAACAAAAUGAGACUCCAUCUCUACAAAAAAAUUAAAAAAAGAUUAGCUAGGUUUGAUGGUGUAUGUCUGUGGUCCCAAAUACGUGGAAGGCUGAAGCAGGAGGAUCGCUUGAGCCCAGGAGAUCAAGGCUGAAGUGAGUUAUGAUUGCACCACUGCACUCCAGCCUGAACAACAGAGCAAAACUCUGUCUCAGGAGGAGGAGGAGGAGGAGGAGGGGAAAGGGUGGGAGAGGGGGAGGGAGGAUGAGGGGGAGUGAAACACAGAGGGAGGAGGAGUGCCAGUGAAACACAGAGAAAAAUGUAGAAGCUAGAAAAAUGUAGAAGAUAGAAAGGGAGGAGGAGGAGGGAGGAAGGGAGGAAGGGAGAAGGAAGAGAGAAGGAGAAGGAAGGAAGAAGAAGAAAGAAGUGGGAAAGAUGGCAUGGAGAGGAGUCAGGAGAAGGACUGAGUCCUUGCAGAGGAGAUAUUAGACCAGGUAUUAUGUAGUGCUAUUACCAAGUCCUGACUGCAGAGAUCACCAGGCUGUUGACUAUGACAUCCUGAGUGAAUAAUGAAAAUUUAAACUGCUGGCUAAUUCUUUGGAUCAGGUGAUUGUACACCAUCAGUUGUGUGGGUAGCAUGCAGACAAGAUCAUGGUAUCCUGCCAUGAUCCAAAAGUUUGGAGAGGUGCCCUUCUUUUACAAUACUUGUAAUAGAAAACUUAGGCUGUAUUCCUCCAUGAUAACGUGCCUUUGGAAAGAGUAGUCCCUUCUUUAAUAUGUAAUUCAGCCAUCUGAAAAUACUUGUUAUUAAAAUAAAAUAAUACAAAUAGUCUAUGACAAAUAGUCUAGGCAGUGCAUCCUGGAAACCCUUGGCUUUUAUUCAACAAUAUUCAAGAGCUGUUUAGUCAGUGCUUGUAACUUGUCAGACACUACUAGGCACGUGAAUUAAGAGAAUGAAUGCUCUAUGUAACUUCUCCUUUAUAGAACACAAAAUCUGGUUGGGAAGGACAAUAUCAAACAGAAAAUUACCCAAAUUGUUUAUUAAUGAAAAUGUGAUAAGUGCUAUUGGAAGCAAUAGAUGCUGUUGUUUUGUCUACCCUGAUUCUAUUCUUCCGGUGACAGCAUCUUGAUUUUGUUUUGAGAACUAUCCUUCACCAUUGCAUGCAACCUUGAUGAGACUCUUAGUCGAGGGGCACUGCCCCUACCUAGUUUGUGAUUCAAGCUGGGCCAGUAAGAUGCCCUUUUCCAGUAAUGAGUGCACUCUCUCGCUCACUCGCUCUCUCUCUCUCUCUAGUUUAAUAGUAUAAAGAUCUUCAAAGUUUGUAUUUACGUUGGUCAAAAGUAAUUGCGUUUUUUACCAUUGCUUUUAAUGUUUAAUCCUUAGCUUUUCCUUUGAGUUGAGAGUGACCCUUAUAUCCUUCCAACAAAUUUCUUAAGUUAAUCUGUUAAAUUAACUGCUUGUAACCAGUUGUAGUAUUUAUAGCACUGCCUAAAAAUCCAGGACUCAAAUAACAGGUAAACUAAAUUGUGGCAUGAUUUUGAGAGUUUGUUAGAGUUUAAGAGAAUGUAUUUUACUGACUGUGAUGCUUAGAACAUUCUAUUUUGAAUAGCAUGAGUUGGUGACAGAGGAUUAAUUUUCUUCCUGUAUCUGUAAUAAAUAACAUUUCCAUAAUAUCAGUAGUCAUAAUAUCUAUAAAACAAAAUAUAAAUAUUAUAAACUUUGACAGUAUAGAGCUAUACCCUGACAGAAGUCCAGAGAUGAUGAGGUAUGUUAACUUUCUUAUCUGAGAGUAUUAAGGUCAAUAACUCUUUUCUAAAGCUGCUAGAUCCAGAAAUGAAUACAUCUAUCCAACUGAAGAACUAAAAAAUCAUGAGUUAGCCCAAAUUGGGGAGCAGGUGGGGAGGGAAGGAAGGCAUAUAAAUGAAUGAAAUUCUUCAUCUUUCAUGCAGAGAAGUCAGCAGGUACUGGCUACCUAAGACUGAAAAAUCAAGAAAGAGAGAUGCAGGCAUAUUAUUUAUUUGGAGUUAAAAGUAGAAACCACUGGAAGAAAUAAAAUGUAAGUUUAUUAAUAAUGACUUCCUUUGGAGAAUAGAUGGUAGGAGAAGGGUCUAGAUAGAGGGUAUAAUUUGACACAAACUUGGCUGCAGAAGAUCUGGCAUUCCAGAAAUAUAUGCGUCAUUAACCUAGUGAUGGCAUUAAGAAAGCGAUAUUAUCCCGGGCUGUGUUAAGACAAGUAUUAUUUGCAGCUAGGAAAUAACCCUUGUGUCAAAUUUAUUGUAGGUUGGGCUUUUAUUUGAAUAUUACACUUUGGGUCUGUAACUUAAAACAUAUGCAGGAAAAUUGCAUAGAAUCCACGUAUAGAAGAGGAAAAUGAUGACAGGGAUUGGAGACUAUGUACACAAGGAAAGGAGGUGGGUUGUUUAUUCUGGAGAAGAGAAGGCUGAAGGGAGACAAAAUUAACAACCUAUGGGCAGUGAGGUGGAACUCUGCAGAACACCAGUCAACCUUCUCCAUCUCACUGGACUGAACAGAAGAAAAUGGGUUUAGACUGCAUCAGGAGAAAAUGUGUUUUUAAGACACAGGAAGACUUGAUGACCUGUGGUUGUGACUGAACGUGGGAACAGGAUGCCCUAAGAACUUUUGGAGUACUUUAGAAAUAAGAUAGAAAUAUUCAUUUUCAAAAUAAGGGUUUGUAUUAGACUUGAGGUCCCUUUAGAUACAGUAACCACAUUCUAUAGUUGGAUGUCUGUGAACUUACAUAUGGAGAAAGGUUAAUGAUCAAGUGGUCUAAAUAGUCUCACCUUGGCUGUGAUUCCCAGGUAAUAUCUCAUUAGGGAAAAAAAAUCAAUAUUCACAUUUUUUUUCUUUAAAGUACUGUGCUAUCUACUGGUUCUUUUAAAAUAUAUAUGCAUGCACAUAUAUAUAUAUAACUGUGUAUCAUAUUUUAAGGGAAAUUCAUAUAGUCUUAGGAGCAAUAGUUAUCAUAUUCAAAGUUUGUACCAUUAAAAUAUUUAUGGUUUAUUUUUCUAACAAAAGCAAUAAGAUUUUGAUGCUGAAAAUCUUCAAAAACACAAAAAGCACAGGAAAUACCUUUUUUUUCAUUAAAAUGUGAGCAAGCAAAAAAAAAACAUACAAACAAAUUUGGUCCUGUCUUAUCAUGACUGCUGCUAAGGCGGUCCAGCUGGGUUUCCCUGUAGCCAGAAUCUGGUCCCCUAUGCUCAUCCUUUCAAGAAGGAAGUGUGAGUGCCUGAUUAGCUGUGUCUUUAUCUUUCCUCCUCACUGCAAUUGGAUCGCACUUACCCAGUCUCUCACACUUAUGUAUUGAAACAAUUAUUAGAAAUGUGGUGAUGGAGUAUUGACUUACCUGGCACCUAAGUCGAGGUUAAUCCCUUUUGAAAGCUGGUUGUAUAAUCUGUGCCUGGGCAGCUGUAGCCCUGGCAAGUUUAGUUAAGACACUAAAAUGAACAUCUGGAUGUUGGUUCAGGCAUUUGUAUUCAACACCUGGAUAGGAUUCUUCAACUUUGGUCUUUGGGUCUGAAGAAAACCCCUAUCUACGUAAAGCUCGUGGUUGCUUGAGAUUUGGUGUGGGAGGGCAGAAAGGGAGGAGUGAAGGGAAUGACUAUUGGUUCCUUAACCAAUAGAGGCUGCCACAACAGGAUUCCUGAGCUAAAGGAAGUUUGAAAAUUUCAGACCAUGCUGAUCGCAGGUGAUAGACACCUUGCGGGCCAACUCUUCCUAUCCAUGCAUACACUUGAGUGAUGGACAGACAUACCUCAUUUUAUUGCACUUUGCUUUGUUGUGCUUCACAGAUUUUUUUUAUGGUAUCUGUUAUGGUGAUCUUGUGAUCAGUGGGUCUUUGAUGUUUCUAUUGUAGUUAUUUUGGGGCACCACUAACUGUGCCCAUAUGAAAUGGCAAGCUUAACUCUUAAGUGUUGGGUGUGUUGUAACAAUAUAUUGUAUGUUUUGAAGUAGCUAGAAGAGAGGACUCGAGAUGUUGCCAACACAUAGAAAGGAUAAAUACUUGAGGUGAUGUGAUGGAGACCCUAAAUACCUGACUUGAUCAUUCAUUAUAUUAUACAUACUAUGCACAUAACGAAAUAUGAAAUACCACACAUACCCCAUAAAUAUGUACAAAUACUAUGUAUCAAUAAAAAAAAAAAUGUGAUUAUUCAAAAGUAGGUCCAGCCUCAGGCAUGGUUAAUCGGGCUCCAGCUCCUUUGCUCUGAGGUUCUCUUUAUUCUCUUUAUUCUUCGCUCUUCCACAUAUCAGCCUCAUUUUCAGGCUGACUCUUCUCAUGGUCACAAGAAAGCUGCUGUAAACUCUGGGGCUGCAGCUUCCCCAUUCACCUACAGGAUAGAAACUGCUGGUUCCCACAAUCAGAGAACAAGUUCCUGAGGUUUGCUCUGACCGGACUGAUGCAAACUGCAAACCAAGCACAGCGGCAGGUGGGAUAAGACGAUGAAGAUUGCCUUAGACUAGCAGGGCCCUCCUCUGAAACUGAUGACGGGGUCAGUCUCACCUAAACCCCAUGACUGCUGUACAACAAAGGAAAAUCUGGAAUUAAUAAUAGGGUGGAGGGAGAAUGGAUCCUGGGAGAACAACCAAGAAAUGUCCACAGUCUUUUGGGCUCUGGGUAAGGCUUCCUGACUGGGAAGUCCCUGGGAAGGUAGAAUGCUUCUUAACGAUGGAGACAGAAGAUUCCCAUCAGACCGGUCAGGUGUCAGGGGCUGGGUGUCAGACAAUUUGAUUAAAGAAAAUAAAUAAAUGGGUAGUUCUUGUGAAAAAAAUGUUGUGUGUAUUCUGACUGCUCCACUGAUUGGCCCGUUCUCCAGUCCCUCUCCCUCUACUGGAGCCUCCCUAUUCCCUGAGAUACAACAAUAUUCAAAUUAGGCUAAUUAAUGACCUACAGUGGCCUCUAAGUGUUAAAGUGAAAGGAAGAGUCACAUGUUCCUCCCUUUAAAUCAAAAGCUAGAAAUGAUUAGUGAGGAAGCCAUGUUGAAAGUUGAGACAGGCCAAAAGCUAGGCCUCUUGUGCCAAACAGUUAGCCAAGUUGUGGAUGCAAAGGAAAAGUUCUUGAAGGACGUGAAAAGUGCUACUCUAGUGAACACAUGAAUGAUAAGAAAAUGAAACAGCCUUAUUGCUGAUAGGGGAAAGUUUGAGUGGUCUGGGUAGAAGAUCACUUCAGCCACAACAUUCCCUUAAGCCAAAGUCUAAUCCAGAACAAGGCCCUAACUGUCUUUAAUUCUGUGAAGAGCAUGUGUAGUGCAUGCUACAGAGAAAUCUUUCAUGAAAGAGUCAAUGGAUAUGGCAAACUUCAUUGCUGUCUUAUUUUAAGAAAUUGCCACAGCCACCCCAGCCUUCAAAAUCCACCACCCUGGUUAGUCAGCAGCCAUCAACAUCAAGGCAAGACCCUUCAAUGGCAAAAAGAUUACAACUCACUGAAGGCUCAGAUGAUUGUUAGCUUUUUUUUUUUUAAUUUUAGCAAUAAAGUAUUUUUAAAUUAAGGUGUGUAUGUUGUGCUAUUAGACAUAAUGCUAUUGCAUACUUAGUAGACCACAGAAGAGUAUAAAUAUAACUUUUAUGUGUUUGGGAAACCAAAAAAUGUGUGUGAUUUGUGUUAUUGCAGUGGCCUAGUACCCAAUCCACAAUACCGCCUAUGCAUGUCUGCAUUCCUCUCAUCUCCUAUCAGUGCACUUCUCACUCUAGCCAGCACCUCUUUCCAUUCUUCUUGAACCCUUGCGUCAGAAUUAUGCUCUGGUUCUCUUAAUUUUCCCUGGAAAAGAGACGCUUUCUCUGUAACUCUCCUAUGAAUCAAAUGGCGAUAAGGAAGAGGUAGGAGCUGUGGCUUUCAUUUAUUUCGCUGCUACUCCAACAUGCUUAAAUUUUUAACCCUUCUGCCCACUCACUAUUUGCUGGUUACAGAGGUAGAACGCACAUCUGUUCUGCGCAAACACAUGAAUACACAUCAUAUAGUCACUCCCCAGCUCUGCAUACUGAGCUCAAAGAAUUUCAGAGCUAGAAGGAAGCAAUACAAUUUUAAGCUUUUAAUUUGUAGUUGAAAAAUCAAGACCCAGAAAGACUGGAUGUAUUGCCCAAGACCAUAUAGCUACUUACUGCAGAUCUAAGACUAGACCCCAGGUCAUUUAUUUCCUAGGAUCCUGGUGCUUCCUCCAGAAAGGAUGGUCCGAGACGCCAACAGCAGCUGGAUGUUCUCAUCAGUCCUCCCUGUUCUGUUCUGCUCUGAAGUUGUCAGAGGCAUGGAAGUAUUCCCUGAUGAGCCACUGGUUCCCACAGUUGAUAGUCUAAUAUUUAAGAAAAGCCACUAUUAUGAGGUCUUUCCUGUAACUUAGCAUGGUUACUAAAUAGACCUGUAGCACUAAUAUUUACAUAGUAACCAGUGGCUUACAGAAGAAAGUAUAUGCAGACAGAAGUUACUUUUUUAUGACACCAGUUAAUUCUGUCUCUCAUUUUAGUUUUUAAAAAUCUCAAAAAGCAAAUGAUUCUUGCUCAUUUAGUUUCAGUUUUCUUGUCUAUAAAAUAAAGCAAUAUGAGAUGGUCUUUAAGAUCCUUUCAAAACCCCAAAAACGUGGAUAUCUACAUUUGGAUUUUCUGAAGAGCUAAGAUUUGGGUACUUUACCUUAAUUUUGAAUACUUCAUAAUGAAGCCUUUCUAAAGUAUUCUCCUUCACCUGCUGUCAUACACAGUGUAGGCAAAACACUGUGAAUCUUUUCUUGGUGGGCCAGGAUCAGGUGUAUGGGAACACCCGUGGGGCUGAAUUCUGCACCAGUGGCGAUGUCCUCAGGGAUUAAAACAACAUUCAGACCACUGGCUUUUUGAGUUAUUGUAUCAGAAGUGAUAUAUUCCGAAAAAGCAGAACAACAACAAGCAGAUAAGUAAGAUAAGUGAAAAAGGCUCAAAGGCCGCUAAUGAGUGGGAAAAUUGGCCAGUGGCUAAAAGCCAAGUGCCUUCUUGCAACUAAAAUGUCUUCAUUAUUUUUUCUGCCACUGAAAAAGGUAGAACAGAACAUCUAUACUUACCUCCUGAGCAGCUUUCUGACUGGAAGGAACAUGAAGAGGCAGACACAUGUGAGCUUUAGAGG